CAAACUUAUUAGUGUCACUUAUUGUAGCAGCGUAGAAUUUUCGAAGCGAUGGAAUAUGUGCUGCAAGCAAAUCCAAAACUAUGGACGCAAACGCUUCCAAAUGGAACACAAAUCAUUCACACACCAGAUAUUACGUUUAAUGUCACUUUUUUGCGUGCAAUUAAACCUUUUGGUCAACACAAGCACGAGAAUUGGAACGACAUGGCGUGUGUCAACUGGGUUUUGCCAAUGAGCUAGAGGGCAAAGCAGUUUCAGUAUCUUUGAGCUUACCGGCACUUGGCCGUGCCAUUAGCAGCUAAAACACAGAAAUUAAAGGGAGGACUUUUUUGAUUCAUUUUCAACUUGUGUUGAGAAACCAUAACGUUGUUGUAUCGCUUUACAAGGACAUAAAUUCACCGAAAUUAGUUCAAUGGAAAUACUACAGCAAGAGCAUGGAUGUUAAGACUUGAACGGUGCCGUGUUAGAUUUAGAAUUCCUGAAACAUAAGAAACCCUCCUCCCAGAUGAAUCUAGUACUAGUGAAAUUAAUGAAAGAACAGAUAUUAUAAAAACUCCGAAAGAAACCAAAAGAGUCCUCACAUAAUGUGCGCAGCUUACACUUCCAGACCGCACGG
Zeugodacus cucurbitae (melon fly) is the source of this 613-nucleotide long non-coding RNA. RefSeq lists it as uncharacterized. The record is from RefSeq and is a predicted model, not a curated record. NCBI's taxonomy places the organism in Eukaryota, Metazoa, Arthropoda, Insecta, Diptera, Tephritidae. The transcript is spliced from 3 exons.